This 1686-nucleotide ribosomal RNA is filed under the name Potamyia flava. Its description in RNAcentral is "SSU rRNA". It matches the Rfam family "Eukaryotic small subunit ribosomal RNA". The record is from RNAcentral. Lineage: Eukaryota; Metazoa; Arthropoda; Insecta; Trichoptera; Hydropsychidae.
GCCAUGCAAGUCUCAGUAUAAGCCGAAUUAAGGUGAAACCGCGAAUGGCUCAAUAUAUCAGUUUUGGUUCCUUAGAUCGUACACAGUUACUUGGAUAACUGUGGCAAUUCUAGAGCUAAUACAUGCAAACGUAGUCCCGACCGGUGACGGAAGGGAUGCUUUUAUUAGAUCAAAAACCAAUCGGCGGCUCGUCCGUCGCAACCAAAGAUGACUCUAGAUAACUUUGAGCAGAUCGCACGGUCCUAGCACCGGCGACGUAUCUUUCAAAUGUCUGCCUUAUCAACUGUCGAUGGUAGUUUACGCGACUACCAUGGUUGUCACGGGUAACGGGGAAUCAGGGUUCGAUUCCGGAGAGGGAGCCUGAGAAACGGCUACCACAUCCACGGAAGGCAGCAGGCGCGCAAAUUACCCACUCCCGGCACGGGGAGGUAGUGACGAAAAAUAACGAUACGGGACUCUUAAGAGGCCUCGUGAUCGGAAUGAGAACACUUUAAAUCCUUUAGCGAGGAUCCAUUGGAGGGCAAGUCUGGUGCCAGCAGCCGCGGUAAUUCCAGCUCCAAUAGCAUAUACUAAAGUUGUUGCGGUUAAAAAGCUCGUAGUUGAAAUUGUGUUUUGCGGCGAUGGUCCACCGAUUGCGGUGCGAUCGUCGCGUCUGCGAGACUUCUCGUCGGUGCUUGUGUGUCGAUGCGAAUCGACACGCAAUCUCGACUGUUUACUUUGAACAAAUUAGAGUGCUCAAAGCGGGCUUACAUUUGCCUGAAUAUUGUGCGCAUGGAAUAAUAGAAUAGGACCUCGGUUCAAUUUUGUUGGCUUUCUGACACCAGAGGUAAUGAUUAAUAGGAACAACUGGGGGCAUUCGUAUUGCGACGUUAGAGGUGAAAUUCUUGGAUCGUCGCAAGACGGACUAAAGCGAAAGCAUUUGCCAAAGGUGUUUUCAUUAAUCAAGAACGAAAGUUAGAGGUUCGAAGGCGAUUAGAUACCGCUGUAGUUCUAACCAUAAAUGAUGCCAGCCAGCGAUCCGCCGAGGGUAUUUAUAUUGAUUCGGUGGGCAGCUCCCGGGAAACCAAAGCUUUCGGGCUCCGGGGGGAGUAUGGUUGCAAAGCUGAAACUUAAAGGAAUUGACGGAAGGGCACCACCAGGAGUGGAGCCUGCGGCUUAAUUCGACUCAACACGGGAAAACUCACCAGGCCCGGACACUGGAAGGAUUGACGGAUUAACAGCUCUUUCUCGAUUCGGUGGGUGGUGGUGCAUGGCCGCUCUUAGUUGGUGGAGCGAUUUGUCAGGUUAAUUCCGGUAACGAACGUAACUCACCGGCGGUAUAUAUAGCCGCACGAGAUUGAGCAAUAGCAGGUCUGUGAUGCCCUUAGAUGUCCUGGGCCGCACGCGCGCUACACUGAAAGGAUCAACGUGUCCUCCUUGACCUAACGGUUCGGGUAACCCGUUGAAACCCUUUCGUGACAGGGAUUGGGGUUUGCAAUUCUCCCCCAUGAACGAGGAAUUCCUAGUAAAAGCGGGUCACCAGCUCGCGUUGAUUGCGUCCCUGCCCUUUGUACACACCGCCCGUCGCUACUACCGAUGGAUGAUUUGGUGAGGUCUCCGGACUGGCGCGCGGAAGCCACUCGUGGCCUCCGACGCGCCGGGAAGUUUGACCGAAUUUGAUCAUUUAGAGGAAGUAAAAGUCGUAAC